RNAcentral lists this ribosomal RNA (515 nucleotides) under uncultured eukaryote. Its description in RNAcentral is "SSU rRNA". It matches the Rfam family "Eukaryotic small subunit ribosomal RNA", at positions 638 to 1150 of the family's 1831-position model. The record is from RNAcentral.
AAUUUUGGCCUUGGGUGGUUUGGUUUGGCCUUCAUUGGUCAAUGCCUUUUCCGCCUAGGUCUUACCUUCUGGGUUAGCUAGUGUCAUUUCGGUGGCGUUAGUGAACCAGAACUUUUACUUUGAAAAAAUUGGAGUGUUUAAAGCAGGCUUUCAAGCCUGAACAUAUUAGCAUGGAAUAAUGAAAUAGGACUUUGGCCUUAUUUCGUUGGUUUCUAAAGCCAAAGUAAUGAUGAAUAGGGAUAGUUGGGGACAUUAGUAUUCAAUUGUCAGAGGUGAAAUUCUUGGAUUUAUUGAAGACUAACUUCUGCGAAAGCAUUUGUCAAGGAUGUUUUCAUUAAUCAAGAACGAAAGUUAGGGGAUCGAAGACGAUCAGAUACCGUCGUAGUCUUAACCAUAAACUAUGCCGACUAAGGAUCGGAUGGUGUUAUAUUUUAUAUUGACCCAUUCGGCAUUUCAGCGAAAGCCAAGUUUUUGGGUUCCGGGGGGAGUAUGGUCGCAAGGCUGAAACUUAAAGG